UACAAAGGAAUUGACGGGGACCCGCACAAGCGGUGGAUGAUGUGGAUUAAUUCGAUGCAACGCGAAGAACCUUACCUACCCUUGACAUGUCCGGAACUUGCCAGAGAUGGCUUGGUGCCCGAAAGGGAAUCGGAACACAGGUGCUGCAUGGCUGUCGUCAGCUCGUGUCGUGAGAUGUUGGGUUAAGUCCCGCAACGAGCGCAACCCUUAUCAUUAGUUGCUACGCAAGGGCACUCUAAUGAGACUGCCGGUGACAAACCGGAGGAAGGUGGGGAUGACGUCAAGUCCUCAUGGCCCUUAUAGGUAGGGCUACACACGUCAUACAAUGGAUGGUACAAAGGGUCGCCAACCCGCGAGGGGGAGCCAAUCCCAUAAAACCAUUCGUAGUCCGGAUCGCAGUCUGCAACUCGACUGCGUGAAGUCGGAAUCGCUAGUAAUCGCAGGUCAGCAUACUGCGGUGAAUACGUUCCCGGGUCUU
RNAcentral lists this ribosomal RNA (478 nucleotides) under uncultured Comamonadaceae bacterium. Its description in RNAcentral is "bacterial SSU rRNA". It matches the Rfam family "Bacterial small subunit ribosomal RNA", at positions 903 to 1382 of the family's 1533-position model. Lineage: Bacteria; Pseudomonadati; Pseudomonadota; Betaproteobacteria; Burkholderiales; Comamonadaceae. The record is from RNAcentral.